This 427-nucleotide ribosomal RNA is filed under the name uncultured bacterium. RNAcentral describes it as "partial 16S ribosomal RNA". It matches the Rfam family "Bacterial small subunit ribosomal RNA", at positions 355 to 774 of the family's 1533-position model. The record is from RNAcentral.
UGGGGAAUAUUGGACAAUGGGCGAAAGCCUGAUCCAGCCAUGCCGCGUGUGUGAAGAAGGUCUUCGGAUUGUAAAGCACUUUAAGUUGGGAGGAAGGGCAUUAACCUAAUACGUUAGUGUUUUGACGUUACCGACAGAAUAAGCACCGGCUAACUCUGUGCCAGCAGCCGCGGUAAUACAGAGGGUGCAAGCGUUAAUCGGAAUUACUGGGCGUAAAGCGCGCGUAGGUGGUUUGUUAAGUUGGAUGUGAAAUCCCCGGGCUCAACCUGGGAAGUGCAUUCAAAACUGACUGACUAGAGUAUGGUAGAGGGUGGUGGAAUUUCCUGUGUAGCGGUGAAAUGCGUAGAUAUAGGAAGGAACACCAGUGGCGAAGGCGACCACCUGGACUAAUACUGACACUGAGGUGCGAAAGCGUGGGGAGCAAACA